This 507-nucleotide ribosomal RNA is filed under the name Oryza sativa Indica Group (long-grained rice). Its description in RNAcentral is "rRNA SSU_rRNA_eukarya". It matches the Rfam family "Bacterial small subunit ribosomal RNA", at positions 935 to 1368 of the family's 1533-position model. The record is from RNAcentral. Lineage: Eukaryota; Viridiplantae; Streptophyta; Magnoliopsida; Poales; Poaceae.
AAGCGUUUGGAAUUUUGGAUAGAAAUUCCGGGCGUGACAACCUUACCAACCCUUGACAUGUGAACAACAAAACCUGUCCUUAACGGGAUGGUACUGACUUUCAUACAGGUGCUGCAUGGCUGUCGUCAGCUCGUGUCGUGAGAUGUUUGGUCAAGUCCUAUAACAAGCGAAACCCUCGUUUUGUGUUGCUGAGACAUGCGCCUAAGGAGAAAUUGUGGUACGUAGUGGUAAUAGUACGUGCCCCGCUCCGAAACAAAGAAAAAGGUGCGUGCCGCACUCACGAGGGACUGCCAGUGAGAUACUGGAGGAAGGUGGGGAUGACGUCAAGUCCGCAUGGCCCUUAUGGGCUAGGCCACACACGUGCUACAAUGGCAAUGACAAUGGGAAGCAAGGCUGUAAGGCGGAGCGAAUCCGGAAAGAUUGCCUCAGUCCGGAUUGUUCUCUGCAACUCGGGAACAUGAAGUUGAAAUCGCUAGUAAUCGCGGAUCAGCAUGCCGCGGUGAAUAU